GCUUUAUUGCCCAAAGUAUCAAUCAUUGUUUAAUACGUCUCGCUGUCAUCGCUGAACAGUAAGCAUUUCGUGGUCACCUCCACUACCUAAUCUUAUUAAUCUAUUAAGGGUAAGGAAAUGAAGAUUUCCGGUGUUUGACUUUCCAAUUUCUUCACAACCAAUGAAAUUUAGAUCUUUGAUAGGAACCCAUUUCGAAUCAGGCAUUGCAUUUGAGCUACAAUGGCUAAAUUCACGGUCUUGAUCUGGGUUUUGUUGUGGUUAUGGAUUGAUGUUGUGUUGGGUGUGGAAAAUGGUCAGGAGGCACCGUACAGGAUUCAUACUCUAUUCUCAGUGGAAUGCCAGAAUUACUUUGAUUGGCAAACGGUGGGGCUCAUGCAUAGCUUCAAGAAGGCUGGACAACCCGGACCUAUUACCCGGCUGCUGAGCUGUACAGAGGAGGAGAAGAAGAACUAUAGAGGGAUGCAUUUGGCUCCAACUUUUGAGGUGCCCUCCAUGAGCAGACACCCCAGAACUGGAGACUGGUACCCUGCAAUCAAUAAACCUGCUGGAAUUGUUCACUGGCUAAAACAUAGUAAAGAUGCAGAUAAUGUCGAUUGGGUUGUCAUUCUAGAUGCUGAUAUGAUCAUUCGAGGUCCAAUUACACCCUGGGAACUUGGAGCAGAGAAGGGCAAGCCUGUUGCAGCAUAUUAUGGGUACUUGGUUGGAUGUGACAAUAUUCUAGCUCACUUGCACACAAACCACUCUGAACUAUGUGACAAGGUUGGUGGACUUUUAGCCAUGCACAUCGAUGACCUUCGAGCAUUAGCACCCAUGUGGCUUUCGAAGACAGAAGAAGUACGUGAAGAUAGGGCUCAUUGGGCAACCAAUAUAACUGGUGAUAUCUAUGGCCAAGGUUGGAUAAGUGAGAUGUAUGGCUACUCAUUUGGUGCUGCAGAAGUUGGACUUCAGCACAAGAUUAACGACAACUUAAUGAUCUACCCAGGCUAUACACCACGAGAGGGUUUUCAGCCUCUUCUACUUCACUAUGGUUUGCCAUUCAGUGUGGGAAAUUGGUCCUUCAGUAAAUUGGAACACCAUGAAGAUGGUAUUGUUUAUGAUUGUGGUCGGCUCUUUCCUGAGCCUCCUUACCCUAGAGAGGUAAAAUUGAUGGAAUCUGAUCCAAAUAAAAGGCGAGGACUAUUUUUAAGUAUAGAGUGUAUAAAUACUCUGAAUGAAGGUCUCCUACUACAGCAUGCUGCAAAUGGAUGCUCUAAGCCAAAAUGGUCAAAAUACCUGAGCUUUUUAAAGAGCAAAACUUUUGCAGAACUAACUAAGCCAAAACUUCUUACUCCUAACAGUAUAAAAACGGAGACUGCAAAUGAGCAGCAGGUCAUUGAUGAACCUCAGAAACCACAUCCAAAAAUCCACACCAUAUUUUCCACAGAAUGUACACCUUAUUUUGAUUGGCAGACUGUAGGCCUUGUACAUAGUUUCCACCUAAGUGGUCAGCCCGGAAAUAUCACACGGCUUCUCAGUUGUACAGAUGAAGACUUAAAGCGGUAUGCAGGCCAUGAUCUGGCUCCAACCCAUUAUGUUCCUUCUAUGAGCCGGCAUCCACUAACAGGCGAUUGGUAAUGUUGUUAUCUGAAUGUGUAUGCCUUGACUAAAGUAGUUAUCAUUAUUGUUCUUUUUAAGUUAAUUCCAGAACUUGCAUGUCACCAUUUUGGUUGUUCUCAUGAUUUAUAUGCCUUUAAUGUUCUUGCCCUGAUUGAUUGGUAAUGUCAUAUGCUGCUUUAAAAAAAAUGUUGAGGAUUUGUGGUUUAUGAAGGUAACCAUCCUGGGAUUUUGUUUUAGUUGAAAGGUACUGGUGAUGCACUUUUAAAUUAGUGUGUAAUCAAAAUAUGAACUUCUUUAUGGAAAUGAUUAACAAAACCUCUUCCAUUUCCCAAACCAAAGAAGAUUAGUCCUGCCCAAGCAGGCUUUUAGGAGUGGAAAUCUAUAAUUAGUCUCACCUUUUAUCAUUUCCUGCUGUAGUGGCUAUUCCAAGAUUUUGAACCAGUCCUUAUGUACAUGUCUGCUUUGGAUUGCACUGUUGCACCAGCCAAUACCUCCUCCUUAGCCUGACUAGUGCGGCAAAUCCAAAAGAUUAAAAGAGAUUUCAUGGAAUAUAAUUUUAAAUAUGGCCUUUAUUUUAUGUCAGGUAUCCAGCAAUUAAUAAACCAGCUGCUGUCCUUCAUUGGCUUAAUCAUACAAAUAUUGAUGCCGAGUUCAUAGUUAUUCUUGAUGCUAACAUGGUCAUGAGAGGUCCAAUUACACCAUGGGAGUUCAAAGCAGCAUGUGGCCAUCCAGUUUCAACACCGUAUGAGUAAGACAAAGGCUUCUAUUCCCUUCAAUUUGAGUAUAGGGAGGUUUAUUUAUGAUUCUGGUUGUGGUUGCAUCUCUCCCUUUCUCUCUCAUUUGUAGAUAGUGUUGUCCAUGUGCAUCUUUAGCUGCUUAAGAAAUGAUAUUUUGACUUAAAUUUUAUGAUUUAUGGAUGUCAGCUACCUUAUUGGUUGCGACAAUGUCCUUGCAAAACUCCAUACAAGCCAUCCUGAGGCUUUUGACAAGGUGGGGGGUGUAAUCAUCAUGCAUAUAGAAGACCUUCGAAAAUUUGCUAUGCUAUAUUGCUAUGGCUGCAUAAAACUGAGAAGGUUCGAGCUGACAAAGCUCAUUAUGCCACAAAUAUCACUGGGGAUAUAUAUGAAUCUGGCUGGAUUAGUGAGAUGUAUGGUUACUCUUUUGGUGCAGCAGAGGUAUGUCAUUUUCCUAUGAAUUUCUUCUGUACAUAGAUUGUAAUCUCGUAGUCUAGACAUACCAACUGAUGCAAUUGUAGAGAAAAGAUCCUAUCUACGCGGGGAAACUUGCAUAUCUAUACUUUUCUAGGGGAAUGUGUUUCAUAUCCUGUCAAGGGUGCAUUCUCAAUAUCCAUCACUUCUUUUACCUUUUUUUGUGGGGUGGUGGGGUGGCGCACCCGCCUUUAGAGAAUAUGAACAUCAAUUGAAUUGUUUCUUCUGUUUCCGAUGGAUUUAUUAUGCUUUAGUUCUCCUUACAAAUCAUAGAUUCUGUUGCCUUUUAUUCACUUAUUCAUUUUAUAAACAGCUGCAACUUCGACACCUCAUAAGCAGGGAGAUAUUGAUAUACCCAGGAUAUGUCCCUGAGUCAGGUGUCAAGUACAGAGUUUUUCACUAUGGAUUAGAAUUUAAGGAUGGGAAUUGGAGCUUUGAUAAGGCAAACUGGAGAGAUACUGAUUUGAUUAACAAAUGUUGGACUAAGUUUCCAGACCCACCUGAUCCAUCAACACUCAAUUGGACUGAUGAGGAUAUCUUAGAGAGGGACUUGCUUAGCAUAGAAUGUGGAAACUGGAAAGACACUGAAUGAAGCACUACUCAUGCAUCAUAAGAAGAGAAAUUGCCCUGAUCCUAGAUCCUUAUCCAACUCAAAUUCAGAUACUGCAAAGGAAGUUGUAAGUUCAAGGAAAUUUGGCAGGAUUGAUGGAAGUAAUGCUGUAAGAAGCAACCCUUUGUCUAUAAAACAUUCUCAGGAAUCAUCUCUGCAUGCUGCAAAUGAUGGCCUCUUUGGUUUUUUGAGGUUCCGGGUUAUUAUUUUAUGGGCAAAUUCUGGUUUGGGUUUUGUGGCAGUCAUGUUCAUGGUAUUCUUAGGUCGCAAAAAUAAGGGAACUAAGGGGCAAAAGAUAAUCAUAUUCGGGAUUCUUGGACAUUAAUGGCCGGGAAAGGCUUCUCCUCAACGCUGAGUCAUCUUUGUAACCUUAAAUUGUACAAGAACACACGCAAUGAUUUUUAGAGGAUUGGACAUUCCAAACUGUCAUGAAAAGUCUCAUGGCAAAGUUCAGGAGUAUAUGGAUACAACAAACAGUGUAGUAUAUUUUCGCAGUCAGAAAGACGCUACCACAGAAAGUUUUAGCUGCUCUUUCUAUUGCUUUAACUUUGACCUGUCCGUAGUUUUCUUUCAAUGUAAUAGAAGAAAUUAUGAAAAGCUUGAAAACAUUUUCUUUCAUGAUCUCUAAAACUUUGCAACUAGUAACUUUUUCUGCAUAUUAUUUCUCUUGCAGUCCUGAAAAGUUUGCCAAUGAAUGAUGAUCAGAUUUGUAUAUUCCUG
Molecule: unclassified non-coding RNA, 4134 nt
Filed under: Hevea brasiliensis (rubber tree)
Lineage: Eukaryota; Viridiplantae; Streptophyta; Magnoliopsida; Malpighiales; Euphorbiaceae
Source: RNAcentral